RNAcentral lists this ribosomal RNA (254 nucleotides) under uncultured bacterium. Its description in RNAcentral is "partial 16S ribosomal RNA". It matches the Rfam family "Bacterial small subunit ribosomal RNA", at positions 108 to 353 of the family's 1533-position model. The record is from RNAcentral.
GAGUAAUACAUAAGUAACCUGCCCUAGACAGGGGGAUAACUAUUGGAAACGAUAGCUAAGACCGCAUAGGUACGGACACUGCAUGGUGACCGUAUUAAAAGUGCCUCAAAGCACUGGUAGAGGAUGGACUUAUGGCGCAUUAGCUGGUUGGCGGGGUAACGGCCCACCAUGGCGACGAUCGGUAGCCGGACUGAGAGGUUGAACGGCCACAUUGGGACUGAGACACGGUCCAGACUCCUACGGGAGGCAGCAUG